GGCCGCCUCAACCUGCACUAUGCUGUUGUCUCUAAGAGGAAGAUCCUCCAGCUUGUAGCAACUGGUGCUGUGCGGUAGGUGCGGCUGUUUGGCUUAUGAAAGGUUAAUGGCAUAUGCUCCCAAAGGCCUUCUCACCACCUUCUUAUCCACAGGGACUGGGAUGACCCACGGCUCUUUACACUCACGGCCCUGCGACGGCGGGGCUUCCCACCUGAGGCCAUCAACAACUUCUGUGCCCGGGUGGGAGUGACUGUGGCACAGACCACAAUGGAGCCACAUCUUCUAGAAGCCUGUGUGCGUGAUGUACUGAAUGACACAGCCCCACGAGCCAUGGCUGUGCUGGAGUCACUACGGGUCAUCAUCACCAACUUUCCUGCUGCCAAGUCCUUGGACAUCCAGGUGCCCAACUUCCCAGCUGAUGAGACCAAAGGCUUCCAUCAGGUUCCCUUUGCACCCAUUGUCUUCAUUGAGAGGACUGACUUCAAGGAGGUAAAUUGUGGGGGUGGAGGGUCCCGUUUGCUGCUGAGUCUGGUACUGGGAACCUUUCAUCUCCUCAUCUCUGUCAGUCCAUCUACUUCCUGCUUCAGAUGAACCAAUCUUUGCCAGACACGGGGGUAGGGAAGCUUCCCCACUUGUUUGACCCUUGCAGCCUCAUGUGUCUACCCUACUUCCUAUCUCUAGGAGCCAGAGCCAGGAUUUAAGCGCCUGGCUUGGGGCCAGCCUGUGGGCCUGAGGCAUACAGGCUACGUCAUUGAGCUGCAGCAUGUUGUCAAGGGCCCCAGUGGUUGUGUAGAGAGUCUGGAGGUGACCUGCAGACGGGCAGAUGCUGGAGAGAAGCCAAAGGCCUUUAUUCACUGGGUGUCACAGCCUUUGAUGUGUGAGGUUCGCCUCUAUGAGCGACUGUGAGUGAACAGAGCUGGGGUGGGGGCAGGUACAAGAUGCACAUUGCCUGCUGUGGCUGCCCAGCUGGGGGUAUGACCUUCACUUUGGCUGCAGAUUCCAGCACAAGAACCCUGAAGAUCCUACUGAGGUGCCUGGUGGAUUUUUAAGUGACCUGAACCUGGUAGGUUCGUGAGGUUUGGGGUGAGGGAGGUAGGCCUCCCUGGUUGGAUGGUUGCCUGAGUUCCCUGCCUGCAGGCAUCACUACACGUGGUGGAUGCAGCAUUAGUGGACUGCUCUGUGGCCCUGGCAAAACCCUUCGACAAGUUCCAGUUUGAGCGUCUUGGAUAUUUCUCCGUGGAUCCAGACAGCCAUCAGGGAAAGCUUGUCUUUAACCGAACUGUCACACUGAAGGAAGACCCGGGAAAGGUGUGAGCUGGAAGCACUGAACCUACCUCAUCCUCCUGGAGGGUGUGGCUACCCUCGCCACCCCAAAUUCCAUGUCAAUAAAGAACA
RNAcentral lists this small RNA (1395 nucleotides) under Pan troglodytes (chimpanzee). RNAcentral describes it as "retained intron". Lineage: Eukaryota; Metazoa; Chordata; Mammalia; Primates; Hominidae. The record is from RNAcentral.